GGGUUUAUGGUUUAGGGUUUGGGGAUUUCGACCCUUCUGGAACAAUUGGUGAUGGUCGCAAACCCUGAUUCAAUGCGUAGAGUGGAAUUUUGACAACAUUGGGAUUCGUGCCAUCAACAUUUUCAUAUAAAUCUGAUUCUAUUGCUUCCAAAACCAUUGUAGCUUGAGGUGCUGGAAGAUUUUGGGUUGUUUGGGGUUGAAAUCCACCGGGUAAAGGUUGUAUGUCG
This 227-nucleotide long non-coding RNA is filed under the name Olea europaea (common olive). RNAcentral describes it as "long non-coding RNA (OEUR_LNC013172)". Lineage: Eukaryota; Viridiplantae; Streptophyta; Magnoliopsida; Lamiales; Oleaceae. The record is from RNAcentral.